UGAGCAAUCUGCCCUUCACAUCGGAAUAACCAUUGGAAACGAUGGCUAAUACCGAAUAUGACUUCGGAUCGCAUGAUCUGAAGUGGAAAGCUCCGGCGGUGAAGGAUGAGCUCGCGGCCUAUCAGCUUGUUGGUGAGGUAAUAGCUCAUCAAGGCGAUGACGGGUAGCCGGCCUGAGAGGGUGACCGGCCACACUGGGACUGAGACAGGCCCA
Molecule: ribosomal RNA, 213 nt
Filed under: uncultured bacterium
Lineage: Bacteria
Description: partial 16S ribosomal RNA
Rfam family: Bacterial small subunit ribosomal RNA
Source: RNAcentral